This 370-nucleotide ribosomal RNA is filed under the name uncultured marine eukaryote. RNAcentral describes it as "SSU rRNA". It matches the Rfam family "Eukaryotic small subunit ribosomal RNA", at positions 611 to 986 of the family's 1831-position model. The record is from RNAcentral.
UGUUGCAGUUAAAAAGCUCGUAGUUGGAUUUCGGAAUGGGCCAGUUGGUCCGCCUCACGGUGUGUUACUGGCUGGUCUGUUCUUCUUCGCAAAGACUGCGUGUGCUCUUUAUUGAGUGGGCGUAGGAUUUACGACGUUUACUUUGAAAAAAUUAGAGUGUUCAAAGCAGGCCUACCGCUUGAAUACAUGAGCAUGGAAUAAUGGAAUAGGACUUUGGUCUUAUUUUGUUGGUUUCUGAGACCGAAGUAAUGAUUAAGGGGGACAGUUGGGGGCAUUCGUAUUUCGUUGUCAGAGGUGAAAUUCUUGGAUUUACGAAAGACGAACAACUGCGAAAGCAUUUGCCAAGAAUGUUUUCAUUAAUCAAGAACGA